RNAcentral lists this ribosomal RNA (372 nucleotides) under uncultured bacterium. Its description in RNAcentral is "bacterial SSU rRNA". It matches the Rfam family "Bacterial small subunit ribosomal RNA", at positions 526 to 896 of the family's 1533-position model. The record is from RNAcentral.
AGAGCGUCCCAAGCGUUGUUCGGAUUCACUGGGCGUAAAGGGUGCGCAGGUGGUCGGGUAAGUCUGAUGUGAAAUCCCGCAGCUUAACUGCGGAAUGGCAUUGGAUACUAUUCGGCUAGAGGGUUGGAGGGGGGACUGGAAUUCUCGGUGUAGCAGUGAAAUGCGUAGAUAUCGAGAGGAACACCAGUGGCGAAGGCGAGUCCCUGGACAACUCCUGACGCUGAGGCACGAAAGCUAGGGGAGCAAACAGGAUUAGAUACCCUGGUAGUCCUAGCCGUAAACGGUGCACGUUUGCUGUAAGAGGAAUCGACCCCUUUUGUGGCGAAGCUAACGCGUUAAACGUGCCGCCUGGGGAGUACGGUCGCAAGAUUA